UUUGCGUCCUGUGACGUGUACUUGAACCCGGAAGAGAUUUCGCUGCAGAGCCGCAGCCAGAGUACUUUCAACUUGCAAAGUUUUUAAUAGUAAAGUGUGAGAGCCAAGAUGCAAGUGUUACCUGGGGCCAAUGGUCCGUGAUGCAUGUGGAGGUGUGCUGGCGGGGUUAUGGAGACUCCACUGAACUGUGCUGAAGAGCAACAACCCCCUCCUGUCUUACCUGACGCCUGGUCCACAGUCACACCACAGGAGCCUACUACAGACAGAAAUGACAAGGGGAAAGCUGUUGGCUUUGUGUUGGUGCAUGCAGGAGCAGGAUACCACUCUGAGUCCAAAGCCAAGGAAUACAAGCAUGUCUGCAAGAGAGCUUGCCAGAGAG
Salvelinus sp. IW2-2015 is the source of this 379-nucleotide long non-coding RNA. RefSeq lists it as uncharacterized. The record is from RefSeq and is a predicted model, not a curated record. NCBI's taxonomy places the organism in Eukaryota, Metazoa, Chordata, Actinopteri, Salmoniformes, Salmonidae.